RNA transcript from Lutra lutra (Eurasian river otter), 2664 nucleotides. It is a transcript of the gene named zinc finger protein 34, with no coding region annotated. NCBI's taxonomy places the organism in Eukaryota, Metazoa, Chordata, Mammalia, Carnivora, Mustelidae. The record is from RefSeq and is a predicted model, not a curated record. The transcript is spliced from 7 exons.
CUCCUGGCCCGCUGACUCGAGGCCCUUUCCCUUCCCGGCUCCUCUCCGCCGCGCGGACGGUCACCAGCUCUCCAGACUCACCGCAGCCCCCAGCGUGAGCCGGGCCCUGCCCUCGCUUCUGGGUGCAGCUCUUUUAGACGUCCUUCAAUAAAGUUCUACUGUUUUGCCCCCAGGGUCUUGGACCGCACUCUGACAACUGUUGCUGCUUGUAUGGUUAUACUGGUGCAUUUUGUGUGUAUCUGUUAGAGAAUCUUGCGCUUCUAGUAGGUGAGUUUAAUUCUUUUAUUUCUAACCAUUAUUCAGCCACUGAACUUGUUCCUACUAAGGUAUUUUUUACCAUCUAUACUUUGAUUUUGUUCUGUACCUUCUGUUGAUUAAUUUUUUUAAACUUCUUUUUGUCCUCAACACUUAACAAGUUGACUUUAUUCUUGCAUACAAAGUGAAUGAGUAUUGCCAUUUUCCUCCUGAAUGAGACUGCUUGGUGUGUCAGAAAGGUUGAGGGGAACAGAUGACCUGAGGAGUUAUCCCUGCAGGUCUCUCUGCGGUGGGGGAGGGUCGGGCAGGGCAGCCCCAGGCAGGGAGCAGAGUCUGCCUAGGAGACCAGCUGUACCCUGAUGGGGAUGAGUGUGGCCCUGAAGCUGCCCACAGGAGGGGCAGGCUGGGCCACCAUGUGUUCCUCUCUCUUCCUUCAGCACGAGUGUGACUCACACUGGGAAGCCCAGGGUACCAGGUGAUGGCGGCUUUGCACCUGUCUGCCCUGCCCCAGGCUGAGGUGACCUUUGAGGACGUGGCCGUGCUAUUCUCCCGGGAGGAGUGGGGUCGUCUGGGCCCUGCUCAGAGGGGCCUCUAUAGGGACGUGAUGCUGGAGACCUACAGGAAUCUGGUCUCCCUGGGAGCUGGGCCUGCAGGUCCCAAGCCUGGGGUGAUCACACAGUUGGAACGAGGGGAUGAGCCGUGGGUCCUGGAUGCACAGGGCGCCGAGGGGAAAGAGCGACUAAGAGUCAGUGUCUCAGGUCAUGGGACCAGGACUGAAUACAAAGAGUUGUCUUCAGGGGAGAUGCUUGAUGGGGAAGAGUUGGAUCAACUCCAGAAGGCUGUUCCCCAAGGACCUGAUCCUGGUGAGACCCAGGCAUGUGUCUGGGAGCCAGAGGAGAGCCUGGACAAGCUAGUAGAGCAGAGAGGCCUGAGGCCAGUCACACUGGCCAACGAGGAGAACAUCCAGGAGUCUGGGGGAAGCCUCAGGUUUUGGUCAAGCCCUAUCUCUGAUCAGAGACCUCACAAAUGCGAUAUAUGUGAACAAAGUUUUGAACAGAGAUCAUACCUCAAUAACCAUAAACGUGUACACAGGUCAAAAAAGACAAAUAUAGUCCAUGAUUCUGGGGAAUUCUUCAGUGCAAAUUUAGUUGUUAGAGAUGAUCAGAAAAUUCCUCUUGGGAAAAAAUUGCAUUAUUGUGGUUACUGUGGGAAAGCCUUCAGGUACAGUGCUAACCUUGUCAAACACCAGCGGCUUCAUAGUGAAGAGAAGCCCUACAAGUGUGACGAGUGUGGGAAAGCUUUCAGUCAGAGCUGCGAGUUCAUCAAUCACCGAAGGAUGCACUCUGGGGAGAUCCCCUACCGAUGUGGUGAGUGUGGGAAGACAUUCAACCAGAGGCCCAACCUCAUGAAACAUCAGAGGAUUCACACCGGGGAAAAGCCCUAUAAGUGUGGUGAUUGUGGGAAACACUUUAGCGCCUAUUCUUCCCUCAUUUAUCACCAGAGAAUCCACACUGGAGAGAAACCCUAUAAGUGUAAUGACUGUGGGAAAGCCUUCAGUGACGGCUCGAUCCUUAUCCGACAUCGUCGGACCCACACUGGGGAGAAGCCAUUUGAAUGUAAAGAAUGUGGCAAAGGUUUUACUCAAAGUUCUAACCUUAUCCAACAUCAAAGAAUUCACACUGGGGAGAAACCCUAUAAAUGCAACGAAUGUGAGAAAGCCUUCAUCCAAAAAACCAAACUUGUCGAACAUCAGAGAAGCCACACUGGCGAGAAGCCCUACGAAUGUAAUGACUGUGGCAAAGUGUUCAGCCAGAGCACACACCUUAUCCAGCACCAGAGGAUCCACACAGGAGAGAAGCCGUACAAGUGCAGUGAGUGUGGGAAGGCCUUCCACAACAGUUCCAGACUCAUCCACCACCAAAGGUCGCACCACGGAGAGAAGCCAUACAAAUGCAGCGAUUGCAAGAAGGCCUUUAGCCAGGGUACUUACCUCGUCCAGCACCGGAGGAUCCACACGGGCGAGAAGCCCUACAAGUGCAGCAAGUGUGGGAAGGCCUUCCGGCACAGUUCCAACAUGUGCCAGCACCAGAGGAUCCACCUCCGCGAGGACUUUGCGCGCUGACCGCGGAGGAGGGCCCAUGAGUUCUGCCGAGCGCAGCCUCCGUACAACCCGACCCUUUAUUUAUUGUCCACACAGUGUUGUUACAGACGAGGGAUGUUUCUAAUUAAAAACAAACAAACAGUUUUCUUAAACCAAAAGCAGUGCAUGUUCAUUUUGGAGAAAUUGAGAGAGGGUUAAGAAUUGUGCCCCAAGCAGUGGCGGGCUCUGAGGGGCAGCCGCUGAGCCAGAUGCCAGCUACAGACUCCACAGGCCGGGGGUGGCAGCUUGCCCGAGGGCCAGUGACUUCG